This 67-nucleotide microRNA precursor is filed under the name Bombyx mori (domestic silkworm). Its description in RNAcentral is "mir-2774 microRNA precursor family". It matches the Rfam family "mir-2774 microRNA precursor family". Lineage: Eukaryota; Metazoa; Arthropoda; Insecta; Lepidoptera; Bombycidae. The record is from Rfam by way of RNAcentral.
ACAACAUUCGGACUGUCAGUCUACAGAGCAAUAUCACCCGCUCGGUGAAUGAUCUUUCCUACGCCGC